GCCGAUGUAGCUCAAUAGCAGAGCAAUGGUUUUGUAAACCAUUUACGGCAGUGCGAUUCUGCCCAUCGGCU
Molecule: transfer RNA, 71 nt
Filed under: bacterium
Lineage: Bacteria
Description: tRNA-Thr
Rfam family: tRNA
About the family: Transfer RNA (tRNA) molecules are approximately 80 nucleotides in length.
Source: RNAcentral